Molecule: small RNA, 198 nt
Filed under: Arabidopsis thaliana (thale cress)
Lineage: Eukaryota; Viridiplantae; Streptophyta; Magnoliopsida; Brassicales; Brassicaceae
Description: ATSL178170
Source: RNAcentral
UUUUUGUUUUAAAUAGUUGCUGAAUACUGUGUGCGUGACAUAUGAGAUUGGAAUAUUUUUAGUUUGUUAAUCAAUUUAUUGUUCGAAAAAAAUCAAUAAUUAAAAGCCAAAAAUGGCUGCAAAAAUGUAUAUAUAGAUUCCAAGUAGUAAGCCCAUGAGAAAAGACUACUCUGCUUCUGAAUAUGCUGGAUUGGAUUU